Molecule: long non-coding RNA, 244 nt
Organism: Cheilinus undulatus (humphead wrasse)
Lineage: Eukaryota; Metazoa; Chordata; Actinopteri; Labriformes; Labridae
Exons: 3
Source: RefSeq, a predicted model, not a curated record
CUGGGAGCUACUGUCUCUGGUGGAGAAGUGACUCUGCCUUGCUUAUGAGACAUGUGGAGAUACACCAACACAGUAUACAACAGAAGCCAUAAUCACAGGACUCAGGAUAGGCCACAGGAUUAAACAGGACACUCCAUACUAUAGAAUCACCCUCCAGCUCAGCAGGUUGGGGUAAUGCACCUUUCAACUGGUUAGCCAACCAUGUGGAGAUGUAGGCCCAAGCAGCAGCUUCCUAUCGUGGAAA